CCUACGGGAGGCUGCAGUGGGGGAUAUUGCACAAUGGGGGGAACCCUGAUGCAGCGACGCCGCGUGGGUGAAGGAGUAUUUCGGUAUGUAAAGCCCUAUCGGCAGGGAAGAAUUUAGACGGUACCUGACUAAGAAGCACCGGCUAACUACGUGCCAGCAGCCGCGGUAAUACGUAGGGGGCAAGCGUUAUCCGGAUUUACUGGGUGUAAAGGGAGCGUAGACGGCAGCACAAGUCUGGAGUGAAAUGCCGGGGCUUAACCCCGGAACUGCUUUUGAAACUGUGCAGCUAGAGUGCAGGAGAGGUAAGUGGAAUUCCUAGUGUAGCGGUGAAAUGCGUAGAUAUUAGGAGGAACACCAGUGGCGAAGGCGGCUUACUGGACUGUAACUGACGUUGAGGCUCGAAAGCGUGGGGAGCAAACAGGAUUAGAUACCCUUGUAGUC
RNAcentral lists this ribosomal RNA (441 nucleotides) under uncultured bacterium. RNAcentral's name for it is "partial 16S ribosomal RNA". It matches the Rfam family "Bacterial small subunit ribosomal RNA", at positions 338 to 795 of the family's 1533-position model. The record is from RNAcentral.